Molecule: ribosomal RNA, 331 nt
Filed under: uncultured eukaryote
Lineage: Eukaryota
Description: partial 18S ribosomal RNA
Rfam family: Eukaryotic small subunit ribosomal RNA
Source: RNAcentral
CCCUUAGAUGUUCUGGGCCGCACGCGCGCUACACUGUUCGACGCAGCGAGUCUUAACCUUGACCGAAAGGUUUGGGUAAUCUUCAGCAAAGUCGACCGUGAUGGGGAUCGAUCAUUGCAAUUAUUGAUCGUGAACGAGGAAUUCCUAGUAAGUGCAAGUCAUCAGCUUGCGCUGAUUACGUCCCUGCCCUUUGUACACACCGCCCGUCGCUACUACCGAUUGAAUGGUUUAGUGAGAUCUCUGGAUUGACGCUGGCUAGGGGGCGACCCUUGGCCAGACUGUUGAGAAACUGCUCAAACUUGAUCAUUUAGAGGAAGUAAAAGUCGUAACA